This 318-nucleotide ribosomal RNA is filed under the name uncultured Pseudomonadota bacterium. RNAcentral describes it as "bacterial SSU rRNA". It matches the Rfam family "Bacterial small subunit ribosomal RNA", at positions 30 to 351 of the family's 1533-position model. Lineage: Bacteria; Pseudomonadati; Pseudomonadota. The record is from RNAcentral.
AUUGAACGCUGGCGGCAGGCCUAACACAUGCAAGUCGAGCGAGAAAGCCUUUCGGGGUGAGUACAGCGGCGGACGGGUGAGUAACGCGUAGGAAUCUACCUGGUAGUGGGGGACAACUUGGGGAAACCCAAGCUAAUACCGCAUACGCCCCAAGGGGGAAAGCGGGGGAUCUUCGGACCUCGCGCUAUUGGAUGAGCCUGCGUAGGAUUAGCUUGUUGGUGAGGUAAAGGCUCACCAAGGCGACGAUCCUUAGCUGGUCUGAGAGGAUGAUCAGCCACACUGGAACUGAGACACGGUCCAGACUCCUACGGGAGGCAG